Molecule: transfer RNA, 74 nt
Filed under: Alphaproteobacteria bacterium
Lineage: Bacteria; Pseudomonadati; Pseudomonadota; Alphaproteobacteria
Description: tRNA-Gln
Rfam family: tRNA
About the family: Transfer RNA (tRNA) molecules are approximately 80 nucleotides in length.
Source: RNAcentral
UGGGGGAUCGUCUAAUGGUAGGACAGCGGAUUCUGACUCCGCUAAUCUAGGUUCGAGCCCUAGUCCCCCAGCCA